Molecule: ribosomal RNA, 456 nt
Filed under: uncultured bacterium
Lineage: Bacteria
Description: bacterial SSU rRNA
Rfam family: Bacterial small subunit ribosomal RNA
Source: RNAcentral
UACGGGAGGCAGCAGUGGGGAAUAUUGCACAAUGGGCGCAAGCCUGAUGCAGCCAUGCCGCGUGUAUGAAGAAGGCCUUCGGGUUGUAAAGUACUUUCAGCGAGGAGGAAGGCGUUGUGGUUAAUAACCGCAACGAUUGACGUUACUCGCAGAAGAAGCACCGGCUAACUCCGUGCCAGCAGCCGCGGUAAUACGGAGGGUGCAAGCGUUAAUCGGAAUUACUGGGCGUAAAGCGCACGCAGGCGGUCUGUCAAGUCGGAUGUGAAAUCCCCGGGCUCAACCUGGGAACUGCAUCCGAAACUGGCAGGCUAGAGUCUUGUAGAGGGGGUAGAAUUCCAGGUGUAGCGGUGAAAUGCGUAGAGAUCUGGAGGAAUACCGGUGGCGAAGGGCGGGCCCCUGGGACAAAGACUGACGCUCAGGUGCGAAAGCGUGGGGAGCAAACAGGAUUAGAAUACC